Molecule: ribosomal RNA, 468 nt
Filed under: uncultured bacterium
Lineage: Bacteria
Description: partial 16S ribosomal RNA
Rfam family: Bacterial small subunit ribosomal RNA
Source: RNAcentral
GACGAACGCUGGCGGCGUGCUUAACACAUGCAAGUCGAACGGAAAGGCCCUGCUUUUGUGGGGUGCUCGAGUGGCGAACGGGUGAGUAACACGUGAGUAACCUGCCCUUGACUUUGGGAUAACUUCAGGAAACUGGGGCUAAUACCGGAUAGGAGCUCCUGCUGCACGGUGGGGGUUGGAAAGUUUCGGCGGUUGGGGAUUGACUCGCGGCUUAUCAGCUUGUUGGUGGGGUAGUGGCUUACCAAGGCUUUGACGGGUAGCCGGCCUGAGAGGGUGACCGGCCACAUUGGGACUGAGGUACGGCCCAGGCUCCUACGGGAGGCAGCAGUGGGGAAGACUGCACGAUGGGCGGAAGCCUGAUGCAGCAGCGCCGCGUGCGGUAUGACGGCCUUCGGGUUGUAGACCGAUUGCGCCUGUGACGAAGCGUGAGUGACGGUAAUGGGUAAAGAAGCACCGGCUAACUACGUG